This is a long non-coding RNA of Scylla paramamosain (green mud crab), 2696 nucleotides long. RefSeq lists it as uncharacterized. The transcript is spliced from 4 exons. NCBI's taxonomy places the organism in Eukaryota, Metazoa, Arthropoda, Malacostraca, Decapoda, Portunidae. The record is from RefSeq and is a predicted model, not a curated record.
AGGUGGAGGAGAGAGAGUUCAGACUUGUAUUCCAGGACUGGUCUGUGUGUGUGUUUGUGUGUGUGUGUGUGUGUGGUGUGGUGGUGGUGGUGGUGGUGGUGGUCACUCAGUCAACAUUGAACCAUGAAACGGAGUGGAGUGGACUCUCUCUCUCUCUCUCUCUCUCUCUCUCUCUCUCUGAAAAAGUGGACACAUUUAGUUCCGUCUCUCAGUCUCAGUCACUUGUCUCUCUCCUUGACUGACUGACUGACUGACUGACUGAACAGAGACUUACUUGACUGCUGCAACCCCUAGGACGUGACUGACUGGACGUGACUGACAAGAUUGGCUGACUGGACUGACUCAUGACGUGUGGUGUGGUGGAGUGUGGUGUGGUGUGAGUGUGGUGUGGUGUGUUAUGAAGUGAUGCUGUGAACGGUGUUGUGGUGAUUGACAGACGGACAGACAGACAGAUAAACAGACAGACAGACAAUAAAGACGGAAUGAGAGAAAUGGACAAAUAGAUGAACGAGUAGAGAGAGGGAGAGAGAGAGAGAGAGAGAGAGAGAGAGAGAGAGAGAGAGAGAGAGAGAGAGAGAGAGAGAGAGAAACCCCGUCCUUGAAAUAAACUAAUAAUCUGAUGUGUAAUAUAAACAAACACAUUUAAACUCACUGUAUUAUUCAUUCAUUCAUCUCCUCCCUCUCCCUCCCUCCCCCCCUCCUUCCCUCCCUCCCUCCCUCCAUUCUCUCACGUGCGGGAGGAAAGAGAGAGAACGUAGAGGAAUGACUGCAGUGAAGUGUGUGUGUGUGUGUGUGUGUGUGUGUGUGUGUGUGUGUGUGUGUGUGUGUGUGUGUGUGUGUGUGUACUAUACUCCCAUACAGUGUCUUCUAUCUAACAGUGACUUAAGCACUCUCUCUCUCUUCGCCCCACCACGAUAUUGUUACAGUGACUCAACAGUGCAGCCUUCUGACGCAAGAGUAUCCUAUACGAGUAUGUACAUUACCGGACAGUGCCAAAGUAUAUAUGACAGUGCCAGGAUUAUAUACAGUGCCUGUGACUGACUGACUGACACGAGAAAUAGAGAAAAUGCAUCUUGUCACUGUUACAUAGACAAGUUAACCGCACCACAAGAGGAGACAAGACCUGACGAGAGAUUCAAACCUUUGCCAGUAUCCUGCAACACUCUGCUCCCCCACCUCACUAUUUUCCAAGGCCACAGAGAUGAUUAGCCGGGUUCUCAAGCCUGUUUAUCCUGUCAGUAAUGUUGAAGUCUUGUUAAUCUGUCACUAGAAACGUUAAAACACCCUUAAAAACCAGUGCAACUUCAACUAAACCCCUUUGAAAUGUAAAACACCCUUAAAAAUCCGUGUCACUUCAAUUAGAGCCUUUUGAACCGUAGAAGCACCCUUGAAAACCAGUGCAACUUCAACUAAACCCCUUUCAAAUGUAAAACACCCUUAAAAAUCCGUGUCACUUCAAUUAGAGCCUUUUGAACCGUAGAAACACCCUUGAAAACCAGUGCAACUUCAACUACAGCCUUUGGAAAGUAGUGGAGGUCCGGCUCAGUGUUUCAUAUUGCGGUCCAUAGAGAGAGAGGAGACUGCAUGCUUUUUUCUCCUGUUCCUACUCCUGCGUUACCUUCCCCGACCGCCACCACGUUCCCUGUAGGGCUGAACACACGGCCGACAACCCCACAGGACCGACAAUAGACGGGUCGGUGGGAUUAUCGUCCGUUUGGAAGGUCUGAGAGGCGCCAGUGCGUGAGGUGAAUGCGUGAGAAGAAUGAUUCGAGGCUUGACGCAAAGAAAGGUGUGAAUUUUGGAGUAGAAAACGAGAGAAAUUGAUGAAAAGAGACUGGAUGAUGAGAGAGAAGAAUUUAGCCAUUGGAAAGUGUAAAAGUGUAAGAAAAUGGAACUGGAGGAGGAGAAGAGGUAUUUAGAAAAGACUUCGAGACUUGGAGAGAAAGAACGAUGUAAAUUUUGAGAUGGAAAAAGGAGAUUGGUGGAAGAAAAGAGACUUGUGGGUGGAAAGGAGAUUGAUGCAUGAAAGAUAAUUGGCAAAAAAGAAGUCUGUAAUUUGGCCAGAAAGAAAGCAGCAAAUUUAGACGAAAAAAAGAAAGAAUAUGAAAGUGAAAAAUAUGACGAGGAAGGUGUGAAGAGAUCUGCACCGCACCGCCACUACUUUCCAAAGGCUUUAGUUGAAGUGACAGGUUUUUAAGGGCGUUUCUUUGGUUCAGUGAUAGAUUAACAACAUCUCUACAUCAUGAAGAGGGGAAACGCUCUUGAGGACCCGGCUAAUCAUCUCUGAGGCCUUUGGAAAUAGUCGUAGGGAGAGAGUAGAGCAUUUGUGAUGAAUACGGAAGUGUGAGACGCCGCUCGGGAGGUCGCAGCGUUGAAGGCUGUGACCUCACCUGAGUGGCAUGACCAGUUCAUAGGGAUGGCUUGGUGACCCGGGGACCUGCUGGAGGGAGAUGGUGAUCCCGGCUGCCCUGGUGACCCUACACUCUGGCUGGUGGUCAGGGCUGGCCUCACACUGCCGGCCACACAGCGGCCAUGAGCACUGGGAACAUCUGGGGAGAGGCAGAGUUGCCACCACCACCACCACUACCCUCUUCAACCUCCUCCUCUUCUUCCUCUUUCUUCUAUCAUCUCAACCUGCCCUCUCUCCUCCUCCUCCCUCACCUGUAGUCCCCCGAGGUCCUCCUGUAGCAGCCGAG